RNAcentral lists this ribosomal RNA (287 nucleotides) under Ctenophora environmental sample. RNAcentral's name for it is "partial Bacterial small subunit ribosomal RNA". It matches the Rfam family "Bacterial small subunit ribosomal RNA", at positions 48 to 311 of the family's 1533-position model. Lineage: Eukaryota; Metazoa; Ctenophora. The record is from RNAcentral.
CGUUACUAACACAUGCAAGUCGAACGAGAAUUCUUUAGCUUGCUAAAGAUAGUAAAGUGGCGAACGGGUGAGUAACAGGUGGGAAAUCUGUCUCUGAAUUGAGGAUAACAUUGCGAAAGUGAUGCUAAUACUGGAUAAUAUCUCUAAAGCUUAGGAGUUAGAGAUUAAAGGUGGCCUCUACGUGUAAGCUACUGUUUGGAGAGGAUCCCGCUUACCAUUAGCUUGUUGGUAGGGUAAUGGCCUACCAAGGCUGCGAUGGUUAGCUGGUCUGAGAGGAGAUCAAACAC